GAUGAACGCUGGCGGCGUGCCUAACACAUGCAAGUCGAGCGGCAGCGAGGGGUGCUUGCACCCUGUCGGCGAGCGGCGGACGGCUGAGUAACGCGUGGGAACGUGCCCCAAAGUGAGGAAUAACUGCCCGAAAGGGUAGCUAAUACCGCAUAUUAUCUUCGGAUCAAAGGAUUUAUCCGCUUUGGGAGCGGCUCGCGUCGGAUUAGGUAGUUGGUGAGGUAAUGGCUCACCAAGCCGACGAUCCGUAGCUGGUCUGAGAGGAUGACCAGCCAGACUGGAACUGAGACACGGUCCAGACUCCUACGGGAGGCAGCAGUGAGGAAUCUUCCACAAUGGGCGAAAGCCUGAUGGAGCAACGCCGCGUGCAGGACGAAGGCCUUCGGGUUGUAAACUGCUUUUAUAAGUGAGGAAUAUGACGGUAACUAAUGAAUAAGGAUCGGCUAACUACGUG
RNAcentral lists this ribosomal RNA (451 nucleotides) under uncultured bacterium. Its description in RNAcentral is "partial 16S ribosomal RNA". It matches the Rfam family "Bacterial small subunit ribosomal RNA", at positions 28 to 507 of the family's 1533-position model. The record is from RNAcentral.